UGGGGAAUAUUGCACAAUGGGCGCAAGCCUGAUGCAGCGACGCCGCGUGGGGGAUGACGGCCUUCGGGUUGUAAACCUCUUUCAGCAGGGACGAAGCGAAAGUGACGGUACCUGCAGAAGAAGCACCGGCCAACUACGUGCCAGCAGCCGCGGUAAUACGUAGGGUGCGAGCGUUGUCCGGAACUACUGGGCGUAAAGAGCUCGUAGGUGGUUUGUCGCGUUGUUCGUGAAAACCGGGGGGCUUAACCCUCGGCGUGCGGGCGAUACGGGCAGACUAGAGUACUGCAGGGGAGACUGGAAUUCCUGGUGUAGCGGUGGAAUGCGCAGAUAUCAGGAGGAACACCGGUGGCGAAGGCGGGUCUCUGGGCAGUAACCGACGCUGAGGAGCGAAAGCGUGGGGAGCGAACAGGAUUAGAUACCCUGGUAGUCCACGCCGUAAACGGUGGGUACUAGGUGUGGGUUUCCUUCCUUGGGAUCCGUGCCGUAGCUAACGCAUUAAGUACCCCGCCUGGGGGAGUACGGCCGCAAGGCU
Molecule: ribosomal RNA, 532 nt
Filed under: uncultured bacterium
Lineage: Bacteria
Description: partial 16S ribosomal RNA
Rfam family: Bacterial small subunit ribosomal RNA
Source: RNAcentral